RNAcentral lists this ribosomal RNA (685 nucleotides) under uncultured bacterium. Its description in RNAcentral is "bacterial SSU rRNA". It matches the Rfam family "Bacterial small subunit ribosomal RNA", at positions 32 to 715 of the family's 1533-position model. The record is from RNAcentral.
AACGCUAGCUACAGGCUUAACACAUGCAAGUCGAGGGGUAGCAGGGUAGCAAUACCGCUGACGACCGGCGCACGGGUGAGUAACACGUAUCCAACCUACCAUUCACACGGGGAUAGCCUUUCGAAAGAAAGAUUAAUACCCGAUAGUAUAACGAUAAGGCAUCUUAUUGUUAUUAAAGAAUUUCGGUGUUUGAUGGGGAUGCGCUCCAUUAGAUUGUUGGUGAGGUAACGGCUCACCAAGUCUUCGGUGGAUAGGGGUUCUGAGAGGAAGGUCCCCCACAUUGGAACUGAGACACGGUCCAAACUCCUACGGGAGGCAGCAGUGAGGAAUAUUGGUCAAUGGACGAGAGUCUGAACCAGCCAAGUAGCGUGAAGGAUGAAGGCCCUAUGGGUCGUAAACUUCUUUUAUAGGGGAAUAAAGUGCGGAACGUGUUCCGCUUUGUAUGUACCCUACGAAUAAGGAUCGGCUAACUCCGUGCCAGCAGCCGCGGUAAUACAGAGGAUCCGAGCGUUAUCCGGAUUUAUUGGGUUUAAAGGGAGCGUAGGUGGAUAUAUAAGUCAGUUGUGAAAGUUUGCGGCUCAACCGUAAAAUUGCAGUUGAUACUGUAUAUCUUGAGUGUACAAGAGGUGGGCGGAAUUCGUGGUGUAGCGGUGAAAUGCUUAGAUAUCACGAAGAACUCCGAUUG